This is a non-coding RNA of Macaca mulatta (Rhesus monkey), 1176 nucleotides long. The record is from RefSeq and is a predicted model, not a curated record. NCBI's taxonomy places the organism in Eukaryota, Metazoa, Chordata, Mammalia, Primates, Cercopithecidae.
UGACUCAUUCGAAAGCUGGCCAGGCAGCCUCUGGACCAGGCCUUGGCAUUAAGUCUUCUGGACAGUGAGCACUAGGUCUCUUCUAAACCGUAGGUCAUGGAAGCUUCAGGCUGGAAAGCAGGGACCCCAGGGCAGCCAGCUCAGCAGGGCUGCAAAACGAUGUCAGCAGAGUGUGCGCCCUCACUGGAGCAAGCCGCAGCGUCUGGCUGUCUGGCCUACCUAGGGCUGCUGUGACACGUUCAUACACGUGGUGGCUUCAAACAACAGCCAGUUAUUCUCUCAGUUCUGGGCUGGAAGCCAAACGCAGGUGUUGGCAGGGCCACGCUUCCUCCACAAGCUCUGGGGGAGAGUCCCUCCUUGACUCUUCUGGCCCCUGGUGGCUCCAGGCCUUCUCCAGUCCAUGGCCGCAUUGCUGCAGUCUCUGCCUGUAUCACCAUCGGGCCGUCCUCCCUCUGCGUGAGGCUCUGCGACCUCACCUCUUCCAUCAAGAAGCCAGUGACUGCACAUGGGGUCUACCUUAAGUCCUCCCGCGAUGACAUCUGCACACUCCCUAUUCCAAACAAGGUCACACUCACAGGCACCAAGGUUAGCACUUGGAUUUGUCCUUUUGGGGACACAAUUGGCACACAGCACUGGCUAAGCUCUAUCCAAAGGGGAGUUAAUUUGGGCAAGGAAUGGAGAUUCUGGAAAGAAAACCAGGAAGGCAGAGCUAAAACAAAUAGACAAAUGAUAAAAACAGCAACAAAGUAAAAUUUGGGUGGCUUCCUGAGCCCUCCUGCACCAGAAACGUCUGGAGAGUGAUGUCAUACCUGCUGUCUGGCCCUCCCCGCAGCCUGGAUAGCAAGCUGGAGCUGUCAUCCCCUGGGCUCUGCUGUGGGGAUGGCACCCACCUUAUCCUAGUUCAGGACGCACUCUCCUGAGUUUCUCCUACUCUGUCCUUCCUAAGGCUGACCCUGCUUCCGUCUGGUGCCCUCAUGGGGUCCCUGCUGCAUGUCCUUCACCUCCUGCUUCCACAGCUCAACCCCAGCAAUGGAUUCCCAGGCAACGUGACCUGCCUGCUUCCCUUUCACCUUCCAUCAUGAUUGUAAGUUUCCUGAGGCCUCCCCAGAAGAAGAAGCUUGCACAGCCCACAGAACCACUCAUAGGUUGAAGGGACUUGCCUUAUUUCGAGAUGAG